Molecule: ribosomal RNA, 492 nt
Filed under: uncultured bacterium
Lineage: Bacteria
Description: partial 16S ribosomal RNA
Rfam family: Bacterial small subunit ribosomal RNA
Source: RNAcentral
AGUGAACGCUGGCGGUAGGCCUAACACAUGCAAGUCGAACGGCAGCACAGUAAGAGCUUGCUCUUACGGGUGGCGAGUGGCGUACGGGUGAGGAAUACAUCGGAAUCUACUUUUUCUUGGGGGAUAACGUAGGGUAACUUACGCUAAUACCGCAUACGACCUACGGUUGAAAGCAGGGGAUCUUCGGACCUUGCGCGAUUGAAUGAGCCGAUGUCGGACUAGCUAGUUGGCGGGGUAAAGGCCCACCAAGGCGACGAUCCGUAGCUGGUCUGAGAGGAUGAUCAGCCACACUGGAACUGAGACACGGUCAAGACGCCUACGGGAGGCAGCAGUGGGGAAUAUUGGACAAUGGGCGCAAGCCUGAUCCAGCAAUACCGCGUGGGUGAAGAAGGCCUUCGGGUUGUAAAGCCCUUUUGUUGGGAAAGAAAAGCAGCAGGUUAAUACCCCGCUGUUCUGACGGUACCCAAAGAAUAAGCACCGGCUAACUUCGUG